RNAcentral lists this small nucleolar RNA (81 nucleotides) under Macleaya cordata. RNAcentral's name for it is "Small nucleolar RNA R160". It matches the Rfam family "Small nucleolar RNA R160". Rfam says of the family: snoR160 is a C/D box small nucleolar RNA, which acts as a methylation guide for 25S ribosomal RNA in plants. snoR160 has been alternatively named snoZ270 in rice. The record is from Rfam by way of RNAcentral. Lineage: Eukaryota; Viridiplantae; Streptophyta; Magnoliopsida; Ranunculales; Papaveraceae.
AGCAAAAUGAUGAGAUAACUUCUCUGAAUUUAUGUAUGAUGAAGAGCAUUACAUAAUGGUUUUCAAAGUUCUCUGAUUGCU